GACGAACGCUGGCGGCGUGCUUAACACAUGCAAGUCGAACGAUGAAGAAAAGAAUUGAAGCUUCGGCAGAAAUUCAUUUCGGAUUAGUGGCAGACGGGUGAGUAACGCGUGAGCAACCUACCUCUUACAAAGGGAUAGCCUCGGGAAACCGGGAUUAAUACCAUAUAACAUUGCGACGAAGCAUUUCGAUGCAAUCAAAGCUACGGCGGUAAGAGAUGGGCUCGCGUCCCAUUAACCAGAUGGUGAGGUAACGGCUCACCAUAGUAACGAUGGGUAACCGGGCUGGGAGGGUGAACGGUCACACUGGAACUGAGACACGGUCCAGAAUCCUACGGAAGGGAGCAGAGGGGAAUAUUGCACAAUGGAGGGAACUCUGAUGCAGCGACGCCGCGGGAGUGAUGAAGGAAUUCGUUUCGUAAAACUCUGUUCUAUGGGAAGAAAAGGACGGUACCAUAGGAGAAAGCUCCGGCUAAAUACGUG
RNAcentral lists this ribosomal RNA (480 nucleotides) under uncultured bacterium. RNAcentral's name for it is "partial 16S ribosomal RNA". It matches the Rfam family "Bacterial small subunit ribosomal RNA", at positions 28 to 507 of the family's 1533-position model. The record is from RNAcentral.